Molecule: RNA transcript, 3516 nt
Organism: Cryptotermes secundus
Lineage: Eukaryota; Metazoa; Arthropoda; Insecta; Blattodea; Kalotermitidae
Gene name: solute carrier family 35 member E3
Exons: 7
Source: RefSeq, a predicted model, not a curated record
GUUGGCUGUCUUGGUGGCAUGUGCCCGAAUGGAUUGUUCGUACAGGGCCGGUGGUAUCGGUGGUAGCGAUGAAAGCGGAAUGGAUAUUACGCUUCCGUAAACUUAUAAAAUAACAUACCAUCCUACACCAUUAAUUUCUGAGUUCUACGAGUAGUCUUUUUAUAUUUGGAAGAAAUGGAAAAUACCAGCGAAGGAACGCUUAUUACUUUGUUCUAUCUCAUUUUCAACAUAGUCAGUUCUAUAGUUAUAGUUUUACUGAACAAGUGGGUGUAUAAGUAUGUAGGAUUUCCCAAUUUGACAUUGACAUUUCUACAUUUUGUUGUUACGUUUGUAGGGCUGGUUUUGUGUCAGAAAUGCAAUGUCUUUAAAGUGAAGCAUGUGCCUUUAAAAGAUAUGGUGCCAUUGGCAUUCACGUUUUGCGGAUUUGUAGUUUUUACCAAUUUAAGUUUACAAAACAACACCGUCGGGACGUAUCAGGUUGCAAAAGUGAUGACAACACCAUGUAUAAUAAUCAUCCAAAUAUUUUUCUACAAGAAAGAGUUUCCUUUAAGGGUUAAACUGACCCUAAUACCCAUUACCUUGGGAGUGUGCAUGAAUUUCUACUAUGAUAUCCAGUUCAAUGUUCUGGGUACAGUGUAUGCUACACUGGGGGUGGUGGUCACGUCAGUGUACCAAGUGUUGGUGAGCCAGAAACAACAUGAGCUACAAAUGAAUGCAAUGCAGCUUCUGUACUACCAGGCUCCAUUAUCGGCCUUAAUUUUGCUUCUCUUAGUACCUGUCUUUGAGCCAGUGACCACCACCAUUGCAAUACACUGGACUGCUGCAGUAGUUGGUUUGGUAGCAAGUUCAUGUAUAACAGCAUUUUUUGUUAAUCUCUCCAUCUAUUGGAUAAUUGGAAACACAUCACCACUUACGUACAACAUGGUGGGACACAUGAAGUUUUGUCUUACCGUGCUUGGUGGUGUUCUCCUGUUUCAAGAGCCAUUCCAUAUGAACCAGGGUGUUGGGAUCAUACUCACUGUGCUUGGAGUAACAGCCUAUGCACAUGUAAAGCUAAAGAAACAAGAUGAUGGAGCAGAUGCGGAAGAGCAGUUUUAAUAGCGGAAGAUAGUGAUUAAACACGUCAUUACAUAAGAACCAUCUAAUAUUCAAAAAAAGAUUGCUCUAAAUGGACUCAAGAAAUUAAGCUGUCUGCUAUAAAACAUUUAAAAUUGAUGGACUACCCCAGCAGCUGCCAUUCAAACAUGUACCAAGAAACAUUACAAAAGGAAGUUCUGUCUAAUUUAGAAAUACCAAGGUUUGCACAGCAUUUAGAAAUACUGAGGUUUGAACAACAUACUGUAUUUAUUAAACUAAAAAUGGAAGAACUUACUUAGUAAACUUCCAUAAGAUGGAUGGAAUAGGUUAUGGAUUUACAUACAAAGAAGUCCUUAGACUUGUGUAUUGUUUUUUCUUUCACAAAUGGUACAAAGCAUUCAUUUAACGGUGACUUAUAGAUGGCAUGGAAAGGACUCAGUGGUUUUUGAGUUACUACAAAUAUCCCAGUCUUGAGUUGUAGAAGCUUUAUCAUUCACUUGCAUCCCAGGAAUAUCAAAAUAGUCAGCAAAUGUUAUGAUCGUCCUUCCAGUUUAUUGAACACUCAUUAUGUUUGGGAUAAACUAUCCAAGAUUAGCUGUUAUGAGACUGAUCCAUGACAUACAAACCAAAGAAAGAAAUUUUCCAGGAUGGAGAGAGGUUGUGAGUCAGAUUAACUCUGACAGUGGUGAAACUGUAAGCGUUGUGGUAUAUUUCUAUUAGUAAGCAGCACAUUCUUCCUUUUGUUAUGGUGAAAGAUCAGUGGUACGGUACUCCGGCUUUUAGUCCACAAGUGAACUAUACCAACUGAGCGACUGCCACUUUUCAGCGAAGUUAGUGCCAAUUUUUGCUGAUAGAGGGUGUCACAUGGUAAGUGCAACGGAUUCCCCCUGCUGUUAAUCCCAGUUUCCUAGACUGGAUCUGUGGUACAGUGCUAGUUAAGAAAUUGGUAAUCCACCUGAAACAGAAGUCAAGCUUUUGGAAGGUGGCUGCAUAAAAUGGAAACAGUUUUUUUCAGCUUGUAGACCAUUUCAUUGGGGCAAGACCCCCUAUACCAGUGAUUUUAAACCUCAGUGGUCAUGGAUCACACUGUUUGGAACCAUCGACACUGGAUAUGGGACUAGCAAACAAGAUUUCCUUGAAGAAUACUGUCUUCUGUGUGUACGUGUACGCUGUGUAAUAUGUUGAAAAUAAACUAAUGUUUCGGAGGAACUUGUGUUCAUCUUCAGGGCAGAAGAAUAAGCUCUGCAAGAUACCGGUGUGAAGGCAGGUGGUAAGCAGAGCUUUCACACUGGUAUCUUGCAGAGCUUAUUCUGCCCCGAAGAUGGUGAUAUAUUCCUCAAAAAUGUCAGUUGACUUUCAACGGACUACACAAUGUUAUACUCGUAUCCCAGAAGAGAGUAUUCUUCAUAACCAUUGCUGUGAGAACCUCAGAACUUGCGUAAGUUUUCCUUGAGUUUUCCAUAACAUUGCACUCACCACCUUCAGCCUGUGGAACACAUCUGAAAGAAUCCAAGUAAGGAUUUGACAUUUGGAAGCAUAUUUGCAGAAGCAUGGAAUCAUACAGCUGUUGUUGGAAGUGCUGUAAAUGGGUUCAGGACAAUUUUCAAUGAACUGUUUGUGGGAUUUGUAAAAGGUAUUGUUGCAGUGCCUAUGUACCAUGCCCUUACCCUGAUGUGGUCAACUGUAUUGCCAUUAGUUGUGCAGAUAGUACUAAGAAAGAAACAGGAAUAUAUGAAUGUUAGAUAUGACUUAAUAAUCCACUGGAAAAUCUUUUUUAUCUUUUCAUUCUAUAAAGUAUAUACUUAGGUAUAUUCUUACCUUUUUAUCAAGACAGUUAAGACCUUCAUGUUAAUAAAAUUCUGAAAGAAGAUACACAGAAGCUAUCAUGUCCAAUGGACUAAUGACCUGAUUUACACUGAUUUGUUAAGGUAGGUCUUUGAAUGAACACAGUUUAAAAAGGAAGUGUAAGAAAGAAUUUAUUACAUUUUUAAUGAGAUGAAUAUUAAUUAUGAGUGUUACAAAUCAAAGUGCUCAGGGAAAUACUUGGAUCCAAGAGGAUUAAGUAAACCUAAUGAGGAAUUUUUCAGUUGUAAGGUCAUUGAAGUCUAUGAAGCUACAGUGGAUUGGGUGUGAAGCUAGGAUGUGUGUAAGGGGUGGGCCAUAAAAACCGGCCCUCACACUGCGACCUUCAGUGAUCUAUUGUAUUUCCCUUUUGGAUUAACCCUUUAUUAUUCCUACACUUGGAAUGAGAUGCAGGACUUUAUUUAAGGGGCAUCAUAAAAGUCACUUGGUUCAAUGAAGAAGUGACCCAGGUGGCGAUAUCUUAAGUAAGCUGUGGCCCCACAGUCAAAUAGGAUAUGUAUGGCUGAUUCAUCUUCUUGUAGGUACCUUUCACAGGUUGGGUCAUCUGUCAGCCCCAGUUUGGAAAGGUGUCCUUUU